GACGAACGCUGGCGGCGUGCUUAACACAUGCAAGUCGAACGAAGCUUGCUUACGUAUUCUUCGGAUGAAGUAUGAUAUGACUGAGUGGCGGACGGGUGAGUAACGCGUGAGUAGCCUGCCCUUCAGAGGGGGGUAGCGUUUUGAAACGAACGGUAAUACCGCAUAAUGUUUUUUGACCGCAUGAUCGAAAUACCAAAGAUUUAUCGCUGAAGGAAGGACUCGCGUCUGAUUAGGUAGGUGGGGGGGUAACGGCCUACCAAGGCGACGAUCAGUAGCCGGACUGGGAAGGAGACCCGCCACAUGGGGACUGAGACACGGGCCAGACUCCUACGGGGGGGAGGAGGGGGGGAAAAUGCACAAUGGGCGGAAGGCUUAUGCAGGAACGGCGCGGGAAGGAAGACGGUUUUCGGAGUGGAAAAUUCUGUUCUUAGUGAAGAAUAAUGACGGUAGCUAAGGAACAAGCCACGGCUAACUACGUG
RNAcentral lists this ribosomal RNA (479 nucleotides) under uncultured bacterium. Its description in RNAcentral is "partial 16S ribosomal RNA". It matches the Rfam family "Bacterial small subunit ribosomal RNA", at positions 28 to 507 of the family's 1533-position model. The record is from RNAcentral.